This 472-nucleotide ribosomal RNA is filed under the name uncultured bacterium. RNAcentral describes it as "partial 16S ribosomal RNA". It matches the Rfam family "Bacterial small subunit ribosomal RNA", at positions 28 to 507 of the family's 1533-position model. The record is from RNAcentral.
GACGAACGCUGGCGGCGUGCUUAACACAUGCAAGUCGAACGCUGAAGCUUGGUGCUUGCACUGGGUGGAUGAGUGGCGAACGGGUGAGUAAUACGUGAGUAACCUGCCCUUGACUCUGGGAUAAGCCUGGGAAACUGGGUCUAAUACUGGAUACGACACGUCACCGCAUGGUGGUGUGUGGAAAGGGUUUUACUGGUUUUGGAUGGGCUCACGGCCUAUCAGCUUGUUGGUGGGGUAAUGGCUCACCAAGGCGACGACGGGUAGCCGGCCUGAGAGGGUGACCGGCCACACUGGGACUGAGACACGGCCCAGACUCCUACGGGAGGCAGCAGUGGGGAAUAUUGCACAAUGGGCGGAAGCCUGAUGCAGCGACGCCGCGUGAGGGAUGACGGCCUUCGGGUUGUAAACCUCUUUCAGCACGGAAGAAGCGAAAGUGACGGUACGUGCAGAAGAAGCGCCGGCUAACUACGUG